AGACGCGGGCGCGGCUACCGGCUGUAGCUCGGGCUCCAACAUGCGCCGCUCGGUGUGCCUGGCGCUGGUCGCGUCGCUCAUGCACGUGUCUCUGCAAGGCGAGUUUCAGAGGAAGCUCUACAAGGACCUGGUCAAGAACUACAAUCCCUUGGAGAGGCCCGUGGCCAACGACUCGCAGCCGCUCACUGUCUACUUCUCCCUGAGUCUCCUGCAGAUCAUGGACGUGGUGAG
This is a long non-coding RNA of Phacochoerus africanus (Common warthog), 231 nucleotides long. RefSeq lists it as uncharacterized. The record is from RefSeq and is a predicted model, not a curated record. The transcript has 2 exons. Lineage: Eukaryota; Metazoa; Chordata; Mammalia; Artiodactyla; Suidae.